AUGAGCUGGUUUUCCGUCGGUGAAUACAGUGGACUCUUCAAGAUUGAGGGCAAACUGCAUAUGCCGAGGGUGUCCAUCGACAACCUGCCCAAUGUCCAUAUUCACCGAGGAGUACAACCAGAGACACUGUUGACUGCGUGCGCCAAGCCCUCCGACGCCCAGCCGUCCGCUAUGGUCUCUGCCCGAAGAAGGAUUAUGGUUCUCCACCUCUCUGCUACUCAUAUUAGAAUUCUGGCUUUUGAUAUACUUCAAACGAGAUUCUUUAUAUGUUGUUCGAUUCCUCUUGCUAUCACCACAAGGGGAAAUUGCUUACGGUGGCAAUAUGCUCUUCUAUGUUGUCUGAUUGACUCUUUUUAUUAG
Molecule: ribosomal RNA, 360 nt
Filed under: Triticum aestivum (bread wheat)
Lineage: Eukaryota; Viridiplantae; Streptophyta; Magnoliopsida; Poales; Poaceae
Description: partial small subunit ribosomal RNA
Source: RNAcentral